GUUGCUAUGCUUGCCAGCCUAUGGUCUAAACUACAUCUGCUCCUGCUUCAGCUGGCUGCCUGGUGACUCUGACAGUCUGUCCUUCUUAAACAAGAGGCUUUUAUUAGUAAAAACAGCUAUAACUAAAGGCAAAAAAGGGGCUUUCUUUGGUUACUAGGGAGCACACCCUAUCUGGAACCUUGUACAGCACCACAUAGCUAGUGGCUGAAUAACAUGCUGUGAUUAAACAUAUCACAGUACUGUUGAGCAACAGAUACCUUACCCAGCAAAGCAUCCUUGAGGAAGAGCCACAGAUAAGAAAGUAUCUGGAAGACUCAACAAGUUAUCUGCCUUGACCUUUGGAGAGGCUUAAAGGGAAGUGUUGUCACUCUGAGGAGAUGUAGAGGUCAUACUAGGCAUAGAGCCAAUCUGCAACUUUUUUUAGUGUGUCAGAGUCAGAGCAAAGUGAAGACAGACUAGACUUAAUCUUUUAACCUAACCUGUCAAAACUGCAUCAAGUCAGCACUGCCAAAUCUACAGCCACCUCAUAACUCAAAAAGAGUCCCCAGAGGAAUAAGAUGACAUAUGGAAAGUGUUCUUUUAAGGACAUUCUGAAGCCAAGAGAGAACCCAUUCUGCUGGAAGAGCAGGAGUGGCACCCCAGAGAUAGAAGAGGAAGAAACCAAGUGCAUCUGGAGGACCUGCUUGUUGGCAUUGACAGAAGGAGUCAGGAAUAGUCAGAUUUUCUUAGGGCAAGAGAAGAAUGGGCUCUUAGGAUAAGACAUUCCUGCAAAUGGGGAGACAGCACUGGCAAUAGGAGCACAGAAAGAAUGGGAUCAUGCACUCAUGCAGUCCCUAGUCCAACUGGUAGCAGAAUGCUUUUGGGCCUCACCCAUUGCGGUGGCAGCUGCUUUUCUAGGGGAACAGUUACCACUUUCUCCUCCUUCUCCAACUAUUGCCCAGGCUGCUGCUAAAGUGUGAAUCCCAGCUCCUCUCCUGCCAGGGAUGAGCAUGCAGGCUGAUCAACACCACAUACUUCUCAGUCAGCUGAAAACCCUCUUGGGGGAACUCCCAAAGCAUUCAGGAAGUGAAUGAUGAACUUAUAUAUAAUAAUAAUAAUAAUAAUUAAUGGAGAUAUCCCAUCUCCUAGAACUGGAAGGGA
This is a long non-coding RNA of Trachemys scripta elegans, 1140 nucleotides long. RefSeq lists it as uncharacterized. The record is from RefSeq and is a predicted model, not a curated record. Lineage: Eukaryota; Metazoa; Chordata; Testudines; Emydidae. The transcript has 4 exons.